AGUGAACGCUGGCGGUAGGCCUAACACAUGCAAGUCGAACGGCAGCACAGGAGAGCUUGCUCUCUGGGUGGCGAGUGGCGGACGGGUGAGGAAUACAUCGGAAUCUACUCUGUCGUGGGGGAUAACGUAGGGAAACUUACGCUAAUACCGCAUACGACCUACGGGUGAAAGCAGGGGACCUUCGGUCCUUGCGCGAUUGAAUGAGCCGAUGUCGGAUUAGCUAGUUGGCGGGGUAAAGGCCCACCAAGGCGACGAUCCGUAGCUGGUCUGGAAGGAUGAUCAGCCACACUGGAACUGAGACAAGGUGCAGACUCCUCCGGGAGGCAGCAGUGGGGAAUAUUGGACAAGGGGCGCAAGCCUGAUCCAGCCAUACCGCGUGGGUGAAGAAGGCCUUCGGGUUGUAAAGCCCUUUUGUUGGGAAAGAAAUCCAGCUGGCUAAUACCCGGUUGGGAUGACGGUACCCAAAGAAUAAGCACCGGCUAACUUCGUGCCAGCAGCCGCCGUAA
Molecule: ribosomal RNA, 506 nt
Filed under: uncultured bacterium
Lineage: Bacteria
Description: partial 16S ribosomal RNA
Rfam family: Bacterial small subunit ribosomal RNA
Source: RNAcentral